UGCAAGUCGAACGAUGAAGCCGCUUCGGUGGUGGAUUAGUGGCGAACGGGUGAGUAACACGUGGGCAAUCUGCCCUGCACUCUGGGACAAGCCCUGGAAACGGGGUCUAAUACCGGAUAUGAUCACCGGCCGCAUGGUCUGGUGAUGGAAAGCUCCGGCGGUGCAGGAUGAGCCCGCGGCCUAUCAGCUUGUUGGUGGGGUGAUGGCCUACCAAGGCGACGACGGGUAGCCGGCCUGAGAGGGCGACCGGCCACACUGGGACUGAGACACGGCCCAGACUCCUACGGGAGGCAGCAGUGGGGAAUAUUGCACAAUGGGCGCAAGCCUGAUGCAGCGACGCCGCGUGAGGGAUGACGGCCUUCGGGUUGUAAACCUCUUUCAGCAGGGAAGAAGCGCAAGUGACGGUACCUGCAGAAGAAGCACCGGCUAACUACGUGCCAGCAGCCGCGGUAAUACGUAGGGUGCGAGCGUUGUCCGGAAUUAUUGGGCGUAAAGAGCUCGUAGGCGGCCUGUCGCGUCGGAUGUGAAAGCCCGGGGCUUAACCCCGGGUCUGCAUUCGAUACGGGCAGGCUAGAGUUCGGUAGGGGAGAUCGGAAUUCCUGGUGUAGCGGUGAAAUGCGCAGAUAUCAGGAGGAACACCGGUGGCGAAGGCGGAUCUCUGGGCCGAUACUGACGCUGAGGAGCGAAAGCGUGGGGAGCGAACAGGAUUAGA
This 712-nucleotide ribosomal RNA is filed under the name Streptomyces qinglanensis. RNAcentral's name for it is "bacterial SSU rRNA". It matches the Rfam family "Bacterial small subunit ribosomal RNA", at positions 56 to 782 of the family's 1533-position model. Lineage: Bacteria; Bacillati; Actinomycetota; Actinomycetes; Kitasatosporales; Streptomycetaceae. The record is from RNAcentral.